RNAcentral lists this small nuclear RNA (18 nucleotides) under Arabidopsis thaliana (thale cress). RNAcentral's name for it is "snRNA_16307". The record is from RNAcentral. Lineage: Eukaryota; Viridiplantae; Streptophyta; Magnoliopsida; Brassicales; Brassicaceae.
GCAAGCCUAGAUUCAACA